RNAcentral lists this ribosomal RNA (200 nucleotides) under uncultured eukaryote. RNAcentral describes it as "partial 18S ribosomal RNA". It matches the Rfam family "Eukaryotic small subunit ribosomal RNA", at positions 588 to 809 of the family's 1831-position model. The record is from RNAcentral.
GCUCCAAUAGCGUAUAUUAUUGAUGUUGCAGUUAAAACGUUCGUAGUCGAACUUUAUCUGCUCAGGUGUCAUUAGCGUCUAAGAUGUUAGGAUACCAUUUGCAGAGAUUGUGCAAGGGCAGCUGCUUGCAGUUACUUUUGCAUUUUACUUUGAGUGAAUCGGCGUGUUCCACGCAGGCAAUCGCCUUGAACGAUUUACCA